AUUGAACGCUGGCGGCAUGCUUUACACAUGCAAGUCGAACGGUAACAGGCCGCAAGGUGCUGACGAGUGGCGUACGGGUGAGUAAUGUAUCGGAACGUGCCCAGUCGUGGGGGAUAACGCAGCGAAAGCUGUGCUAAUACCGCAUACGAUCUAUGGAUGAAAGCGGGGGACCGUAAGGCCUCGCGCGAUUGGAGCGGCCGAUAUCAGAUUAGGUAGUUGGUGGGGUAAAGGCUCACCAAGCCGACGAUCUGUAGCUGGUCUGAGAGGACGACCAGCCACACUGGGACUGAGGCACGGCCCAGACUCCUACGGGAGGCAGCAGUGGGGAAUUUUGGACAAUGGGCGCAAGCCUGAUCCAGCAAUGCCGCGUGCAGGACGAAGGCCUUCGGGUUGUAAACUGCUUUUGUACGGAGCGAAACGGCCCUCUCUAAUAAAGAGGGCUAAUGACGGUACCGUAAGAAUAAGCACCGGCUAACUACGUGCCAGCAGCCGCGGUAA
Molecule: ribosomal RNA, 498 nt
Filed under: uncultured bacterium
Lineage: Bacteria
Description: partial 16S ribosomal RNA
Rfam family: Bacterial small subunit ribosomal RNA
Source: RNAcentral